UAUUACUGGAGAAGACAUUACUGCAGAGAAGUCACAAGUGGUGCACGUGCAUAGUGGGCAAUUGAGUUACAUGACCACAAAGACUGUAUUGUACAAGGGCGUACGUUGAAGUCAAGCUUUUUUUUAUAUAGUGUGGGCGGUGCUGUUUUGUUGCCUUCAAAAUAAAAUAACCAAACAUCAACUGCAAAGCGUCUGAGAGUGAAU
This is a long non-coding RNA of Strongylocentrotus purpuratus (purple sea urchin), 204 nucleotides long. RefSeq lists it as uncharacterized. The record is from RefSeq and is a predicted model, not a curated record. The transcript is spliced from 3 exons. Lineage: Eukaryota; Metazoa; Echinodermata; Echinoidea; Camarodonta; Strongylocentrotidae.